AGUUCGAUUAUGGCUCAGAUUGAACGCUGGCGGGAUGCUUUACACAUGCAAGUCGAACGGCAGCACGGACUUCGGUCUGGUGGCGAGUGGCGAACGGGUGAGUAAUGUAUCGGAACGUGCCUAGUAGCGGGGGAUAACUACGCGAAAGGUAGCUAAUUACCGCAAAGGGCAUACGCCCUUCGGGGGAAAGCGGGGGACCUUUCGGGCCUCGCACUAUUAGAGCGGCCGAUAUCGGAUUAGCUAGUUGGUGGGGUAACGGCUCACCAAGGCGACGUCGAUCCGUAGCUGGUUUGAGAGGACGACCAGCCACACUGGGACCGAGACACGGCCCAGACUCCUACGGGAGGCAGCAGGGGGAAUUUUGGACAAUGGGGGAAACCCUGAUCCAGCCAUCCCGCGUGUGCGAUGAAGGCCUUCUGGCCAGAAACACUUUGCGAGGAAAGAAACGGCACGGGAUAAUACCCCGUGCAACUGACGGUACCUGCAGAAUAAGCACCGGCUAACUACGUGCCAGCAGCCGCGGUAAUACGUAGGGUACAAGCGUUAAUCGGAAUUACUGGGCGUAAAGCGUGCGCAGGCGGUUCGAAAGAAAGAUGUGAAAUCCCAGAGCUUAACUUUGGAACUGCAUUUUUAACUACCGAGCUAGAGUGUGUCAGAGGGAGGUGGAAUUCGCGUGUAGCAGUGAAUGCGUAGAUAUGCGGAGGAACACCGAUGGCGAAGGCAGCCUCCUGGGAUAACACUGACGCUCAUGCACGAAAGCGUGGGAGCAAACAGGAUUAGAUACCCUGGUAGUCCACGCCCUAAACGAUGUCAACUUAGCUGUUGGGGCCUUCGGCCUUGGUAGCGCAGCUAACGCGUGAAGUUGACCGCCUGGGGAGUACGGUCGCAAGAUUAAAACCUCAAAGGAAUUGACGGGGACCCGCACAAGCGGUGGAUGAUGUGGAUUAAUUCGAUGCAACGCGAAAAACCUUACCUACCCUUGACAUGUCUGGAAUCCCGAAGAGAUUUGGGAGUGCUCGGGCAAGAGAACCGAACACAGGUGCUGCAUGGCUGUUUUCGCCGCUCGUGUCGUGAGAUGUUGGGUUAAGUCCCGCAACGAGCGCAACCCUUGUCAUUAGUUGCUACGAAAGGGCACUCUAAUGAGACUGCUGCGACAAACCGGAGGAAGGUGGGGAUGACGUCAAGUCCUCAUGGCCCUUAUGGGUAGGGCUUCACACGUCAUACAAUGGUCGGGACAGAGGGUCGCCAACCCGCGAGGGGGAGCCAAUCCUGCAGAAACCCGAUCGUAGUCCGGAUCGCAGUCUGCAACUCGACUGCGUGAAGUCGGAAUCGCUAGUAAUCGCGGAUCAGCAUGUCGCGGUGAAUACGUUCCCGGGUCUUGUACACACCGCCUGUCACACCAUGGGAGUGGGUUUUACCAGAAGUAGUUAGCCUAACCGUAAGGAGGGCGAUUACCACGGUAGGAUUCAUGACUGGGGUGAAGUCGUAACAAGGUAA
This 1497-nucleotide ribosomal RNA is filed under the name uncultured Bordetella sp. Its description in RNAcentral is "partial 16S-23S ribosomal RNA intergenic spacer". It matches the Rfam family "Bacterial small subunit ribosomal RNA". Lineage: Bacteria; Pseudomonadati; Pseudomonadota; Betaproteobacteria; Burkholderiales; Alcaligenaceae. The record is from RNAcentral.